RNAcentral lists this long non-coding RNA (1077 nucleotides) under Equus caballus (horse). RNAcentral's name for it is "lncRNA (ENSECAG00000058935.1)". The record is from RNAcentral. Lineage: Eukaryota; Metazoa; Chordata; Mammalia; Perissodactyla; Equidae.
GCAAAUGUCCACCAUAUGCUAAGAUACGAAAUACAGAAAAGACACAGCCUGUACUUUAAGUAUGGAGGGUAAAGCAGAAGAUAGGGCAAAACAUACAGAGAAAUAAGACGUGAAAACAUACGACAGGAGAUGCUCUAAACAAAAGCACAAACAAGGUGGGGGAAUCUCAAGAUGUAACGGCGAGCGAGUGAGGCCAGAUACAAAGGAAUACAGACUGUAUGAUUCUAUUUACAUGAAGCUCAAGAAGCACAGCUCUUCUGUUAUCAGAAGACAGAAGAGUGGUUACCUGUUCCUGGUGGGUGGAUGAUAAUGGACUGAGAAGGAAACAUCCUAGAUCUCGACACAGGUGGUGCUUUCCUGGGAAAUACGUUUGUAAAAAUUCAUCAACCUGCACCCUUAAGAUGUGUGCCCUUUAUGUAUGUUAUUCCACAAUUUUUUUUUUUUUUUUUGGUGAAGAAGAUUGGCCCUGAGCUAACAUGUGUUGCCAAUGUUUUUCCUCUUUUUGCUUGAGGAAGAUUGCUGCUGAGCUAACAACUGUGCCAAUCUUCCUCUAUUUUAUGCGGGACGCCACCACAGAAUGGCUUGAUGAGCAGUGUGUAGGUCUGCACCCCAGAUCCAAACCCUUGAACUCUGGGCCGCGAAAGCCAAGCACACGAACUUAACCACUACACCACUGUGCUGGGCGGUGUCCACUCCAGUAGCUCCUUGAGCGCCACACCCAUCUUUAAAUAGCAGUUCCUGUUGGCAGUCAGCUCAGCCCAUUACUUUCGCGCAGUCCUCAUGAUUUGUACAGCCAACAUCUAGAAAACCAUUUGGUUUUUCUACCAAACAAAUCUCAUCUCAAUCGCCAAGAUGCAGAUCGGUUUCUGAGACACUGCGCAUCUCCUGUGCUAGCAGCAACACCAAAAUAAGGGGACGUGGAUCGGCACUGGGCUGUGGCAUGGGCCUCCAGUUUGCCUUCAGAAAUGAACUUCCUUCAGAUCCCAGGAAAUCUGGGGAGUAAGAGAGAAACAGAAUGAAAGUUCGAGAAGGGGACAGAAAGUGUCUUCUCUCAAACCGUAAAUCAUAGAAAUUGAA